UCCGUCUUGUUCCUGCUGACACUGCAGCUCCAUUCCUUCCCUGAUGUCAGAACCCAAUUUCUUCAAGAUUCCAUCAUAAACUAAAGAUCAGUGACUCCCCCAGAAUCCUCCAGAAUAUCAGUACCAGGUUCGGAUGACUGAGGCAUCCACCCUCAUAGGCUGAGCAGCCACUGGAUUCUCAUCCUCGGUAUUGUGAAGACGGCAUUACUGGACAACCAGCCUGUAUCAUAUAAAAUAUUCUUCAGGCCACUGGGAAUUUGAUCAUAUAAAGCUAUAACAUUGCUGACAGCAUGAAAAAGACCUGUGGAGACUCAUCAGAGAAAAACCCAACACAGAACUGAAGAUGAAUAUUCCUACCAAUGGGCACCACUCAGAUACAUCAGAUGGCUCAAUGGAGCCUCCUACAGAAAAGAUGACCACAAUGACCUUGGGAAAGCAGAGGAGACCCCAGAAGGAGAAGCCUCAAUUUCCAUGGACCUGGACACAUGAAAUGAGGACAGAGCUGACCAGCUCAUCUUCCUGUACCCUCCUUGCACUAUCCUGAAUUAACUGUUGUCUCCAAAAACGUUUACAGUAUCCCCUGACUAAGCAGCCUGUAUGACUGCCCAAGCCACUACCUGAGACCAAUUUAGACUAUGUUCCUGCUCCAUGCUACCUGAGAACUCUUUCUCAGUAAAAGGUUCCCAGAGACAAAUGUCUCACUACUGUCCCACUGUCAACAUUUGCAUCCCUAUUUUGAGCGUGGUAAAAUGUCACAACUGCAGAAAGCUAAACAGCCCACUCUGCUUGCCAGAAUAUCUCUAUAGAGUCCUGGCACUCUGAUCCACACAUUUCCAUAAAAACUAAAAACAGCUUCUUUGUUCUACAACCCCAGGAGGCAGAAGCAAGGAUGGCCCAGCCCAGCUUUCACAGCUCUCACCUGUCCCCCACCAAGUAGGUAUGUCACCUUUGCUGAUCUAAUCCUCUGAAUGAUCUAAAGUAACCUCUAAUUGAUACCAGGCUUGGUAACUGGAAUGCAAAAGGAACUUUUUAAACUUGCUUGUAUAUCAAGUAAAACAACAAAUAUCAAUGCAAAACUACUAGGGGAAAUUAACCAGGAAAUGGGAGGAUUAAGAAUUGCUGUAUUACAAAAUAGAGCUAAUAUAGAUUAUUUACUGUUAAAAAGUCACAUGGAAUGUGAACAAUUUCCAGGAAUGUGUUGUUUUAAUUUGUCUGAUUUUUCACAUACUAUAGACCAACAGAUUAAUGAUUUACAAAAGGAAGUCAGUAAGAUGUCUGAAUUCUCCAUACCUUGGACAGUGUGGCUCCAACUGUGUAGUCCAUUUUAGAGCCCCAUAUUGAUUGACAUACUUCUUCUUGUAGGAGCAUCAAUAGUGAUCCCCUGUAUUAUAGUUUCAAUAAUCAAUACUGUGGCCUCUAUAAGUACUUCCUUCUUA
Long non-coding RNA from Nannospalax galili (Upper Galilee mountains blind mole rat), 1436 nucleotides. RefSeq lists it as uncharacterized. The transcript is spliced from 3 exons. The record is from RefSeq and is a predicted model, not a curated record. NCBI's taxonomy places the organism in Eukaryota, Metazoa, Chordata, Mammalia, Rodentia, Spalacidae.